UCAUACGGGAGGCAGCAGUGGGGAAUUUUGGACAAUGGGCGCAAGCCUGAUCCAGCCAUCCCGCGUGAGUGAAGAAGGCCUUCGGGUUGUAAAGCUCUUUCGGCGGGGACGAAACGGUUCGGGUUAACAACCCGGACUAUUCCCGGUACCCGCAUAAGAAGCACCGGCUAACUACGUGCCAGCAGCCGCGGUAAUACGUAGGGUGCAGGCGUUAAUCGGAAUUACUGGGCGUAAAGCGUGCGCAGGCGGUUUUUUAAGACAGGUGUGAAAUCCCCGGGCUUAACCUGGGAAUUGCGCUUGUAACUGGCAGGGUAGAGUGUGGCAGAGGGGGGUGGAAUUCCACGUGUAGCAGUGAAAUGCGUACAUAUGUGGAGGAACACCGGUGGCGAAGGCAGCCCCCUGGGUUAACAAUGACGCUCAUGCACGAAAGCGUGGGGAGCAAACAGGAUUAGAUACCCUGGUAGUCCACGCCCUAAAAUAUUCAACUAGUUGUCGGGGAAGAAAUUCCUUUUAAAGAAGAUAACGAAUCUAAUAUCCAACUUUUUAAGAUUUUUUUUUA
Molecule: ribosomal RNA, 559 nt
Filed under: uncultured bacterium
Lineage: Bacteria
Description: bacterial SSU rRNA
Rfam family: Bacterial small subunit ribosomal RNA
Source: RNAcentral